GACGAACGCUGGCGGCGUGCUUAACACAUGCAAGUCGAACGGAAUCGGACGGCUCUUUUGCUUUGCUGGAGAGAGUGACGAACGAGUGACUAACACGUGAGCAGCCUGCCCUCAACAUAUGAAUAACUCCAUGAGAGUGGGGCUAAUGAUAUAUAUUCCGGAUGCAUCGCGUGGUGGGUGAGGGAAACGGUUUUUUCUGGGUAGUCAUGGGCUCUCGGCCUAUCAGCUUGUUAGUGGGGUGAUGGCCUACCAAGGCGGAGACGGGCAGACAGGCUGACAGGGCGGACUGCCACUCAGAUACUGACAUAACGCCCACACUCCUACGGGAGGCAGAAUAGUGGGAUUUUGCACAAUGCGCGAAAGCCUGACGCCGCGACCCCGAGGGAGGGAUGACGGCCUUCAAGCUGUAAACCUCGUUCCCAAGGUUGAAAGACGCUUUUGGGAAAUGAAGACUUUAACUGGUACAUAACUACCGGCUAACUACUUGCCAGCAUGCGAGCGAAUACCUAAGGUACUAGCGUUGUCCGGAAUUAAUGGGCGUGAACGCCUUGUAAGUGGUUUGUCGCGUCUGUCGUGAAACCCGGGGCUUAACUCCGGGCUUGCGGUGGGUACGGGCAGGCUUGAGUGCGGUAGGGGAGACUGGAAUUCCUGGUGUAGCGGUGGAAUGCGCAGAUAUCAGGAGGAAUACCGGUGGCGAAGGCGGGUCUCUGGGCCGUUACUGACACUGAGGAGCGAAAGCGUGGGGAGCGAACAGGAUUAGAUACCCUGGUAGUCCACGCUGUAAACGUUGGGCACUAGUUGUGGGGGCUUUUGUUGGUUUCCGCGACGUAACUAACGCAUUAAGUGCCCCGCCUGGGGAGUACGGCCGCAAGGCUAAAACUCAAAGGAAUUGACGGGGACCCGCACAAGCGGCGGAGCAUGCGGAUUAAUUCGAUGCAACGCGAAGAACCUUACCAAGGCUUGACAUGCACCGGACGACUCUAGAGAUAGGGUUUCCCUUUGUGGCUGGUGUGCAGGUGGUGCAUGGUUGUCGUCAGCUCGUGUCGUGAGAUGUUGGGUUAAGUCCCGCAACGAGCGCAACCCUUGUCUAGUGUUGCCAGCAAGUAGUGUUGGGGACUCUCUAGAGACUGCCGGGGUUAACUCGGAGGAAGGUGGGGAUGACGUCAAAUCAUCAUGCCCCUUAUGUCUUGGGCUUCACGCAUGCUACAAUGGGCGGUACAGUGGGUUGCAAUACCGUGAGGUGGAGCUAAUCCCCAAAGCCGUUCUCAGUUCGGAUCGUAGUCUGCAACUCGACUACGUGAAGGUGGAGUCGCUAGUAAUCGCAGAUCAGCAUUGCUGCGGUGAAUACGUUCUCGGGUCU
Molecule: ribosomal RNA, 1360 nt
Filed under: uncultured bacterium
Lineage: Bacteria
Description: bacterial SSU rRNA
Rfam family: Bacterial small subunit ribosomal RNA
Source: RNAcentral